UGCGGUAACGAGCGCAACCCUCGCUGUGUGUUACAUAUCACACGGGACUGCCUUACAACAAGUGGGGAGGAAGGAGAGGACGACGUCAAGUCAGCAUGACCCUUACGUCCAGGGCUACACACAUCCUACAAUGGAGAGGACAGUAGGUCGCGAAGGAGCAAUCCUGAGCUAAUCCUCAAACCUCUUCUCAGUUCGAAUUGUGGGCUGCAACUCGCCCACAUGAAGUCGGAAUCGGUAGUAAUCGCACGUCAGCAGAGUGCGGUGAAUACGUUCUCGCUCCUUGUACACACUGCCCGUCAAGCCAGCGAAGUCGGCAGUGCCCGAAGUUCUCAUAAUAUGAUGAGGCCUAAGGCAAGGUCGGCGACGAGGACUAAGUCGUAACAAGGUUACCAAGCCGAA
Molecule: ribosomal RNA, 399 nt
Filed under: uncultured alpha proteobacterium B2M51
Lineage: Bacteria; Pseudomonadati; Pseudomonadota; Alphaproteobacteria
Description: bacterial SSU rRNA
Rfam family: Bacterial small subunit ribosomal RNA
Source: RNAcentral